This 492-nucleotide ribosomal RNA is filed under the name uncultured bacterium. Its description in RNAcentral is "partial 16S ribosomal RNA". It matches the Rfam family "Bacterial small subunit ribosomal RNA", at positions 29 to 507 of the family's 1533-position model. The record is from RNAcentral.
AGUGAACGCUGGCGGUAGGCCUAACACAUGCAAGUCGAACGGCAGCACAGUAAGAUCUUGCUCUUACGGGUGGCGAGUGGCGGACGGGUGAGGAAUACAUCGGAAUCUACUUUUUCGGGGGGGAUAACGUAGGGAAACUUACUCUAAUACCGCAUACGACCUACGGGUGAAAGCAUUGGAUCUUCUGACCUUGCGCGAUUGAAUUAGCCGAUGUUGGAUUAGCUAGUUGGCUGGGUAAAGGCCCACCAAGUCGACGAUCCGUAGCUGGUGUGAGAGAAUGAUCGGCGACACUGGAACUGAGACACGGUCAAGGCUCCUACGGGAGGCAGCAGUGGGGAAUAUUGGACAAUGGGCGCAAGCCUGAUCCAGCCAUACCGAGUGGGUGAAGAAGGCCUUCGGGUUGUAAAGCCGUUUUGUUGGGAAAGAAAAGCAGCAGGUUAAUACCCAGCUGUUCUGACGGUACCCAAAGAAUAAGCACCGGCUAACUUCGUG